ACUCAGCACUUAAUAAGCCUAAAAGCCCAUGUUUCUUCAGUCUGUUAAUCAUUUUGUCUCCUAUAUGACCUACCCUAAGGUGCCACAUAUACUUCAGGUUCAUCUCAACUUUGGAUCUUUCAAAUUCAAUGGCAUUUACUGCUUGCUCAAAUAAGUUCAUAGAUGCAUCAUCAUGCAGAUUGUCUUUAAGAACUAAAUGCAGAUGGUAGUCAC
RNAcentral lists this long non-coding RNA (213 nucleotides) under Elaeis guineensis (African oil palm). RNAcentral describes it as "long non-coding RNA (EGUI_LNC051365)". Lineage: Eukaryota; Viridiplantae; Streptophyta; Magnoliopsida; Arecales; Arecaceae. The record is from RNAcentral.